RNAcentral lists this ribosomal RNA (440 nucleotides) under uncultured bacterium. Its description in RNAcentral is "partial 16S ribosomal RNA". It matches the Rfam family "Bacterial small subunit ribosomal RNA", at positions 338 to 795 of the family's 1533-position model. The record is from RNAcentral.
CCUACGGGUGGCAGCAGUAGGGAAUAUUGCUCAAUGGGGGAAACCCUGAAGCAGCAACGCCGCGUGGAGGAUGAAGGUCUUAGGAUUGUAAACUCCUUUUGUUAGAGAAGAUUAUGACUGUAUCUAACGAAUAAGCAUUCGCUAACAACGUGCCAGCAGCCGCGGUAAUACGGAGGGUGCAAGCGUUACUCGGAAUCACUGGGCGUAAAGAGUGCGGAGGCGGGGUAAUAAGUCAGAUGUGAAAGCCUGUAGCUUAACUGCAGAAGUGCAUUUGAAACUGGUACUCUGGAGUGUGGGAGAGGUGAGUGGAAUUCUUGGUGUAGGGGUAAAAUCCGUAGAGAUCAAGAAGAAUACUCAUUGCGAAGGCGACCUGCUGGACCAUUACUGACGCUGAUGCACGAAAGCGUGGGGAGCAAACAGGAUUAGAUACCCGAGUAGUC